GGGUGAUGGUGAAGUCAUAAAUCUUUCAACUUGCUCUCAUAGAUACAUAUAUAUAUAUGAUUUUGUAUUCAUCAUCAAUGUAAUACCAUCAAAACCACGUAAUUCAUUCCAAGCAAAUUAACACAUCUAUUUAUUACAAAUGUUUUCUGUCACUCACGAUUUCACACAACGAAUUUACUUACUCAAGCUCAAUGUUAAUAUCUAAUUAAAUUCCAAUACUUGGCUUCUAUUUUACUUACCGAUAUUUGCCAAAUUAGAGAACGUCUUACGGAAUU
RNAcentral lists this long non-coding RNA (275 nucleotides) under Gossypium barbadense (sea-island cotton). Its description in RNAcentral is "long non-coding RNA (GBAR_LNC014284)". Lineage: Eukaryota; Viridiplantae; Streptophyta; Magnoliopsida; Malvales; Malvaceae. The record is from RNAcentral.